This 85-nucleotide non-coding RNA is filed under the name Pontivivens insulae. RNAcentral's name for it is "Glycine riboswitch aptamer". It matches the Rfam family "Glycine riboswitch aptamer". From Rfam's summary of the family: This family represents the bacterial glycine riboswitch. Glycine riboswitches usually consist of two metabolite-binding aptamers domains with similar structures in tandem. The record is from Rfam by way of RNAcentral. Lineage: Bacteria; Pseudomonadati; Pseudomonadota; Alphaproteobacteria; Rhodobacterales; Paracoccaceae.
CAUUCCCAGCCGGGAGAAGCGGUCCGCCGCUGCCGAAGGAGCAACCGCCCCGGAAACUCUCAGGCCUCAGGACCGGCACGGGGAA